RNAcentral lists this long non-coding RNA (434 nucleotides) under Mytilus galloprovincialis (Mediterranean mussel). The record is from RNAcentral. Lineage: Eukaryota; Metazoa; Mollusca; Bivalvia; Mytilida; Mytilidae.
AAAGUGAUUAGGACAUUUACCAUAACAAGUUUGAUUUUGUUGAUACAUAGACAGAUAAGGUAACUAUCAAUAUGUUCUUACCUUUAAUAGUAUCUGUCAUAUGCAAAAACUUUCCACUGCUAAAGUUUUUAGUUCCAUAGUACACAGCCGUGACUAAUCCAAUACUAACUACAGACGUAAUCAAAAUACAUCGAAAUUUCCAUCCUUCAAUGACAUUUUUAAAAGUAUUUCGGUGUUGUUGAGGAUACAAAUGUUCUUGGUCUGGUCGUUGAGAGAUUUCAAAUUUUAAAAUACCUCCGCUGAAAACUGGUUUGAUAUGCGUUCCCAUUGCAUAGAUUAAGAACGAAAGUAUAUUAAACAGCCCCAAUUGAUGACAUGCUAGCUCUGACUCUACAGAAAUAGCUUUGUUCCACAAUAAUAUAUAAUAUAUAAAU